CAAAAAUUUCCCAUAAGUUCUAAAUUUUCACGGGGGCAGCUCUCUCUCGCGACAUUUUUAGAAAACUCUCUCUCUCUCUCUCUCUCAACUCCCUUUCUCAUCUCUGAAACACCAUCUCCAUCGCGCCAUCUUGGUCUCCGAGCUUGCCAUCCAGGUCACAUAUCUCGCCGUCCAAGUGACUGAGGUCGCCAUAUCCCUUGCGUCUAGGUGAUUGAGGUUGCCAAAAUUAUCGCCAUGGGUAAAGCCAGAGUAGCUGCUAGCAAACGAAGUGAUACGAAGUUGAAGAGUAAGAGUGUUGUUCUGGAGCGAGCAAGAAGCCGGCGAAGAAAGCUGGAAAGGAUCCAAACAAGCCGAAGAGACCUGCUAGUGCCUUCUUUGUUUUCAUGGAGGACUUUAGAGAAAGUACAAGAAGGAGCAUCCAAACAACAAAUCCGUUGUCGCUGAAAUUGUUGAUAUGGCAAUUGUUGCUCUAUUUCAAAUUGGCUUGAUAACAGUAGUGGGUUAUACUCCCAAGUUGAUAACAAUAUGUGGUCUUCAGUCUCAUAGCCUCAAGCCAUAUGUUUGUUGUGUUCAGUAAAAGCAGGAGCAUGACAAUUCUCAAGGAGGUAUGUCCUUAUCCUUCUCUUCUACGAUACAUAAUGAGGGAUUACGUUUUGUUGGUGUUCUCUGUCCCUUAUUGUGCUCGGGAAUUGAUGAUAAAUUUUUUGAGUAUCUGCCUUACUUCUCAAAUGGUUGGCUAUGUCUUCCAUAGGCUUUGAGGUUGGUUUCAUUUCAAAUUCUAUUUAUAAUCCAGAUUGAGAUUUAUACCAUGUUUCGGUUACAACGUGAAUAGUUUGGGGUACUUGGGAUCAUAAUAUUAUAAGAUUUAGUAAUCUAGAUUGGUACAAGUCUGAUUUUUGAGUGGUCAGCAAGGAAUUGCGUGGGCUUUUUUCUCUCACUAUUUUGUUCUCUUUAUGCUGUGAUUAAGAAGAAAUAUGGUCAGGAUGCAACUAAUGCUGGUGACGAAGGUGGAUUUGCACCUAAUAUUCAGGUUAACAAUAGUUUGAUGAAACCUAAUCAUUUAACUGAAGUUGCUAUUAUUCCUUGUUAUUCCUUUCACAUCUCUCUACUGAUAUCAAUUGAAGAUCCAUUUGACCAAGAUGACUAAGAACACUACUCCAAGAGGACAACUGAAUGUGGAGAGCAAGUACAAAUUGUGGGAGAUACAACAACCAUAGGUUAAUACUUUGGAUAUGGUAUUUUGUAAUUAUAGGUUAAUGCUAUGGAUAUGGUAUUUUGUAUGGAUAUAGUAGGAAUCAAGAUUGGUAAACCGUGUAAUUACUAUUGAAUCUUCAAGUUUUAUGAAAGAAACAAAUUUUUAGCA
Long non-coding RNA from Prunus avium (sweet cherry), 1363 nucleotides. RefSeq lists it as uncharacterized. The record is from RefSeq and is a predicted model, not a curated record. Lineage: Eukaryota; Viridiplantae; Streptophyta; Magnoliopsida; Rosales; Rosaceae.